CAAAACUUUUAACAACGGAUCUCUUGGUUCUGGCAUCGAUGAAGAACGCAGCGAAAUGCGAUAAGUAAUGUGAAUUGCAGAAUUCAGUGAAUCAUCGAAUCUUUGAACGCACAUUGCGCCCGCUGGUAUUCCAGCGGGCAUGCCUGUUC
Molecule: ribosomal RNA, 149 nt
Filed under: Sirococcus conigenus
Lineage: Eukaryota; Fungi; Ascomycota; Sordariomycetes; Diaporthales
Description: 5.8S ribosomal RNA
Rfam family: 5.8S ribosomal RNA
About the family: 5.8S ribosomal RNA (5.8S rRNA) is a component of the large subunit of the eukaryotic ribosome. It is transcribed by RNA polymerase I as part of the 45S precursor that also contains 18S and 28S rRNA. Functionally, it is thought that 5.8S rRNA may be involved in ribosome translocation.
Source: RNAcentral